GCCAAUCUACACUGCAUGGACCCAUAUGGCUAGGGACCAUGUAUGUGUGCAGUCAAACUACAAUAACCUCCCUGUGAGUAGCCGAAGCACCGCAGGUCAAAGGACCAGUCACACUACUGCAACAUCAAGCAAGUCACUGACGAGUGGAUAGACAUCCAAGUGACUUCUUGUCUUGGUCACGCUCAGUACCCUUGUUCUCUAACAAGCAU
This 209-nucleotide long non-coding RNA is filed under the name Phoenix dactylifera (date palm). RNAcentral describes it as "long non-coding RNA (PDAC_LNC010562)". Lineage: Eukaryota; Viridiplantae; Streptophyta; Magnoliopsida; Arecales; Arecaceae. The record is from RNAcentral.